UACGUAGGGUGCGAGCGUUGUCCGGAAUUAUUGGGCGUAAAGAGCUUGUAGGCGGUUUGUCGCGUCUGCCGUGAAAAUCCGGGGCUCAACUCCGGACUUGCGGUGGGUACGGGCAGACUAGAGUGUGGUAGGGGAGACUGGAAUUCCUGGUGUAGCGGUGAAAUGCGCAGAUAUCAGGAGGAACACCGAUGGCGAAGGCAGGUCUCUGGGCCACUACUGACGCUGAGAAGCGAAAGCGUGGGGAGAGAACAGG
Molecule: ribosomal RNA, 253 nt
Filed under: uncultured bacterium
Lineage: Bacteria
Description: partial 16S ribosomal RNA
Rfam family: Bacterial small subunit ribosomal RNA
Source: RNAcentral